This 253-nucleotide ribosomal RNA is filed under the name uncultured bacterium. RNAcentral describes it as "partial 16S ribosomal RNA". It matches the Rfam family "Bacterial small subunit ribosomal RNA", at positions 524 to 776 of the family's 1533-position model. The record is from RNAcentral.
UACGUAGGCAGCGAGCGUUGUUCGGAGUUACUGGGCGUAAAGAGUGCGUAGGCGGUUUUCUAAGUUUGGUGUGAAAUCUCCCGGCUUAACUGGGAGGGUGCGCCGAAAACUGGAAGGCUUGAGUAUGGGAGAGGUAAGCGGAAUUCCUGGUGUAGCGGUGAAAUGCGUAGAUAUCAGGAGGAACACCAAUGGCGAAGGCAGCUCGCUGGAACGGUACUGACGCUGAGGCGCGAAAGCGUGGGGAGCGAACAGG